CCUUCCGUAGCUCAGUGGUAGAUCUAGAGCGUCCGACCGGUGUGCGGAUUCAAGGUCAUUGGUUCGAUUCCUGUUGGGGGAA
This is a non-coding RNA of Desmophyllum pertusum, 82 nucleotides long. NCBI's taxonomy places the organism in Eukaryota, Metazoa, Cnidaria, Anthozoa, Scleractinia, Caryophylliidae. The record is from the annotation of a GenBank genome assembly.